GCGCCUGUGGCUCAACUGGAUAGAGCAUCUGACUUCGGAUCAGAGGGUUGGGGGUUCGAGUCCCUCCGGGCGCGC
RNAcentral lists this transfer RNA (75 nucleotides) under bacterium. RNAcentral's name for it is "tRNA-Arg". It matches the Rfam family "tRNA". From Rfam's summary of the family: Transfer RNA (tRNA) molecules are approximately 80 nucleotides in length. Their secondary structure includes four short double-helical elements and three loops (D, anti-codon, and T loops). The record is from RNAcentral.